Molecule: ribosomal RNA, 550 nt
Filed under: uncultured bacterium
Lineage: Bacteria
Description: bacterial SSU rRNA
Rfam family: Bacterial small subunit ribosomal RNA
Source: RNAcentral
AGCGCAUCCUUCGGGAUGAGCGGCGGACGGGUGAGUAACGCGUGGGAAUGUGCCCUUCUCUACGGAAUAGCCACUGGAAACGGUGAGUAAUAUCGUAUACGCCCUCAGGGGGAAAGAUUUAUCGGAGAAGGAUCAGCCCGCGUUAGAUUAGGUAGUUGGUGGGGUAACGGCCUACCGAGCCUACGAUCUAUAGCUGGUUUUAGAGGAUGAUCAGCCACACUGGGACUGAGACACGGCCCAGACUCCUACGGGAGGCAGCAGUAGGGAAUCUUGGACAAUGGGGGCAACCCUGAUCCAGCCAUGCCGCGUGAGUGAAGAAGGCCUUAGGGUCGUAAAGCUCUUUCGCCUGUGAUGAUAAUGACAGUAGCAGGUAAGGAAACCCCGGCUAACUCCGUGCCAGCAGCCGCGGUAAUACGGAGGGGGUUAGCGUUGUUCGGAAUUACUGGGCGUAAAGCGCGCGUAGGCGGAUUGGAAAGUUGGGGGUGAAAUCCCGGGGCUCAACCCCGGAACUGCCUUCAAAACUCCCAGUCUAGAGUUCGAGAGAGGUGAG